Molecule: transfer RNA, 86 nt
Filed under: Nitrospirota bacterium
Lineage: Bacteria; Pseudomonadati; Nitrospirota
Also listed under: 1 other name
Description: Nitrospirae bacterium tRNA-Leu
Rfam family: tRNA
About the family: Transfer RNA (tRNA) molecules are approximately 80 nucleotides in length. Their secondary structure includes four short double-helical elements and three loops (D, anti-codon, and T loops).
Source: RNAcentral
GCCCGGGUGGCGGAAUGGCAGACGCAGUGGACUCAAAAUCCACCGAGAGCAAUCUCAUGCGGGUUCAACUCCCGCCCCGGGCACCA